CAUCAAGCUACGUCAAUGGGGGUUUAGAAAAAUCUGACGAGGUUUCUGAAGCUUCUCUUCGAAACCCUAGGAAGGAGCCCCCAGCUCAAAGAGAAACCCCGAUGUCACCCACAGUUGCGAUACUCAUAAUGCUAGCGAUGGUACUUACAACAACAUACCCGAGGCAUUUCCGGUGGAGCUCUUGAGCUUUUUUCUACUUGAGUGUCGGACUGCUAACGAUGUGUGGAUUUCUUCGCGUGAGUUAAAAUCCGUGAAAGAAAACUUUCAAAGGCAGCUGCUAUGCUGAACUUGUUAUUUGCACGUCAGUCUGAUCCAUUAUUGUAAAUGAUAUAUUUUUCAUUUUCAAGCUUUUAAAUGUGAAAAUCGUUCAUGUUUUUGUGAUGAGAAAUGUGUUGUGAAUCCAUGCUAGUGUUGUACUUUAUCGGGUUCGGGAAAUGAUGACAAGCUACAGAAAACGUUCAGAGGCAGCUGCUAUGCUGAACUUAUUAUUUGCACGUCAGUCUGAUCCCUUGUUAGUGUUGUAUUUCUCAUUUCCAAGUUUCUAAAUGUUAAAAGAUAUGUGGUUGGUUUGCUACUUUUGUUGUUUUUUGAUCAUUCACAAAGAAAAAGGUCUUUAUCUUUUCAUGUUUUUUUAUUUUCUUAUUUCGAAAAUCUUUUUAUGUUUUUUGGGAUGAGAAAUGUGAUGUGCAUCCAAGCGACUAUUUUACUUUAUUGGGUUUGGGAAAUGAUGAUAAGCUACAUAAUACUUUCAGAGGCAGUUGCUAUGCUGAACUUGUUAUUUGCACGUCAGUCUGAUCCCUUGUUGUUAAUGUUAUAUUUCUUGUUUCCAAGCUUCUAAAUCUUAAGAUUUUUAGUUACUUUGCUCCCCCUACCCUGAAAAGUUAUAAGCUCCUUUGGCCGUUGGGUUGCCUUUUGCCAGUAUGUCAUAUAACAUUGCUUUCAAAGUCUCGAUUUUGCUUUUGAACUCUCUUUCAAAAUCUCUAUGCCCUGUUUUCCAAAAUCUUCUUCUCAAAUUGGGGUCAGAAGACGUUGCCCAUGCUGCUAGUACAAAUUUGGCUUGACCCAAAUGUUUUCAGAGCAUGGAGAAAGGAGAUUAUAAACUAACUCAAAACUCUUAAAAACUUUUUUGAGUGUUAUUUCUUUUCUAUUAUAUUUUUUGUUUUCCCACAUCCAUUAUGUUCAUGGGCUACAAGGUGAAAUUUGGGAAAUGAAGACAAAUUGAAAUGUUCAACAGAGGUAGAUACUGUGCUGAACUCUAUUGCACGUCAGUCUGAUCCCUAAUAUUGUUCCUUUUAUCCAAGAUGACGAUGGUCUUUCUCUUAAAUCCUCAAAGAUCCUGUUGGAUUGGCCAAACUACAUUUCAUGGAAUUACCCCCCACAUACAUUUAUAUUCUUAGUUCAUUUAUUUGAAAUUCCUCAUUUUUGAAGUUUGUUUGUUUAUAUUUUUCGUUCUCCCUUCCAAUAGUUACUAUUGGGUGAUUUUGGUUGUACCAAUUUUUGGCACUUUAGGGAUAUAUACCUUAAAACAGCCAGAGAUUUGUAUGAAAUUUUCAUAUAUAGAGGGAAGAUGGUGUAACCAACAUUUUAUAAAAUCUCCCAUUUUUCAGGGCAUUCAAAUUCA
Cucurbita maxima (winter squash) is the source of this 1621-nucleotide long non-coding RNA. RefSeq lists it as uncharacterized. NCBI's taxonomy places the organism in Eukaryota, Viridiplantae, Streptophyta, Magnoliopsida, Cucurbitales, Cucurbitaceae. The transcript is spliced from 2 exons. The record is from RefSeq and is a predicted model, not a curated record.